UUGUAAUUUCCAAACCUAAUUUUAAGACGGCAGCCCAAUCGACUUAUCUUUUCUCCUGAUUCUUCAUCCUUAUCUCCCAAAAUUGCCCCCAAUUCAAUAUCUUUAGCCUACAUGAUUCUUGCACAACGAACUAUUCAUCCCAACAGUCGGUGUACAUUGAAGACGCCAAUUGAUGAACGUGUAAAUUGAAGACGCCGAUUGAUGAUUGAAACGGUGGAAACAGUUAUAAAUAUGAUCAAUGAUCAAUUAGGUUUGAUGAUUGAAAUCAACUCUUGAUAUUGAAGAUGUUCAAUCUGAUUUGGUUUUGAAAUACGAUUAGCAUGGAUAGGGCUCAUUUGAUUUGUUGAUUAUGAUGGACAACAUUCAAUUGCAUGCUGAAUUUUAGAAUCAAGAAUGGUUAUUUUCUAGGUUCUAGGGUUCCUACCACUAUUUCGGCUACCCACUUGAAGAUGCAUGCUCUGUUUUGGUCGACUCUGCAACAAGGUUAGCGUUUCUUGUUAUUGUUUGGAGUUAUACCCGUUUAUGUUUGUUAGGAAAAGAUAUCAUCCCUACUAGGAAACCACUUGUUACAAUUUCGUCAAUCCGUUACAAGGUAGGUAACACCCCCUUUUAUUGUUCUUGGUACAAGACAUUUGUGUUUAGAUACCAUAAAUUAAAUUACGUUUGUCUUGUUGUUUAUGCAGGGCGAUUUGUGCAUAUCUCACCAACAAACCAUCACUUCCCUUCUCUAUUACGAGUACAAGACGAAGAUAGAGGUCGCAGACAUAGGGGUUUGAAGGAGGUUCACAAAAGGUGUGGGGAAAAUGCGACUGCGGCGUGGAAUGUGUCUUUUUGGAACUAGAUGUGACUCGUUACAACCUAUACAAGAACUUAACUGUUUUGAUUGUUAACUCAUGGGUCAAAUUAUGUCCAUCCCGCUGCAACGCGCGGGUUCCCCACUAGUAAAACCUAAUAUACAAAACGGUUGGACGAUCAACGGCACAUCAUUCUUGACAGAGACAUCAGACGCGACAAGAAAAUUAUUUUGCAAGCUUUCAAGGUUCAAGAAUUAUUAGAGAUCAAGGAUUAAACGGGUUCUAAUUCUCCGGUUCUUCUUGUUUUCUAGUUUUUCUUAUUUUAAUUCAAUGAACUCAGUUAUGCGACUUUGUUUAUUUGUUUUUAAGACCAUGAUGCUUGGCUAAACAUUUAAGCCACCUAGACUUGAUGAAUGGAUUGAUAUAGAGUUUUUACUAUU
Molecule: RNA transcript, 1234 nt
Organism: Helianthus annuus (common sunflower)
Lineage: Eukaryota; Viridiplantae; Streptophyta; Magnoliopsida; Asterales; Asteraceae
Exons: 5
Source: RefSeq, a predicted model, not a curated record